GACGAACGCUGGCGGCGUGCCUAAUACAUGCAAGUAGAACGCACAGUUUAUACCGUAGCUUGCUACACCAUAGACUGUGAGUUGCGAACGGGUGAGUAACGCGUAGGUAACCUGCCUGGUAGCGGGGGAUAACUAUUGGAAACGAUAGCUAAUACCGCAUAAUAUUAAUUAUUGCAUGAUAAUUAAUUGAAAGGUGCAAUUGCACCACUACCAGAUGGACCUGCGUUGUAUUAGCUAGUUGGUGAGGUAACGGCUCACCAAGGCAACGAUACAUAGCCGACCUGAGAGGGUGAUCGGCCACACUGGGACUGAGACACGGCCCAGACUCCUACGGGAGGCAGCAGUAGGGAAUCUUCGGCAAUGGACGGAAGUCUGACCGAGCAACGCCGCGUGAGUGAAGAAGGUUUUCGGAUCGUAAAGCUCUGUUGUAAGAGAAGAACGAGUGUGAGAGUGGAAAGUUCACACUGUGAUUGAUCUACCA
This 481-nucleotide ribosomal RNA is filed under the name Streptococcus gordonii. RNAcentral describes it as "bacterial SSU rRNA". It matches the Rfam family "Bacterial small subunit ribosomal RNA", at positions 28 to 485 of the family's 1533-position model. Lineage: Bacteria; Bacillati; Bacillota; Bacilli; Lactobacillales; Streptococcaceae. The record is from RNAcentral.